UCUCUUCUAGCUCAAUGGGAGAGCAACGGACUGUUAAUCCGUGGGUUGGCGGUUCGAGCCCGUCGAAGGGAG
RNAcentral lists this transfer RNA (72 nucleotides) under Marsupiomonas sp. NIES 1824. Its description in RNAcentral is "tRNA-Asn". It matches the Rfam family "tRNA". From Rfam's summary of the family: Transfer RNA (tRNA) molecules are approximately 80 nucleotides in length. Their secondary structure includes four short double-helical elements and three loops (D, anti-codon, and T loops). The record is from RNAcentral. Lineage: Eukaryota; Viridiplantae; Chlorophyta; Pedinophyceae; Marsupiomonadales; Marsupiomonadaceae.